This is a small nucleolar RNA of Ursus maritimus (polar bear), 155 nucleotides long. NCBI's taxonomy places the organism in Eukaryota, Metazoa, Chordata, Mammalia, Carnivora, Ursidae. The record is from Ensembl.
CACUUACAUCUCUUUUGAAACAAUCAUCUCAAUUUCGGCUGGCCAAUGAACUGACAAGUGUAGGUAGUGUGAUACACGAGGGGCCAGUCUUUCGUUACCACGACAAGGGUCUCUGGCUCAGUGAGUGGACUUUGACAGUCAUUUUUGCUACAAGU